GGGAAUCCGGUUCCUAUUCCGGAACCCGGCAGCGGAACCGCAUACAAUUCGGGCCCUCGUAAGAGUGUUCGUCGGGGUAACCCAAAAUGACCUGGAGACGCCGUCGGGAGAUCCGGGAAGAGUUUUCUUUUCUGUAUAAGCGUUCGAGUUCCCUGGAAACCUCUAGCAGGGAGAUAGGGUUUGGAACGCGAAGAGCAUCGCAGUUGCGGCGGUGUCCGGAUCUUCCCCUCGGACCUUGAAAAUCCAGGAGAGGGCCACGUGGAGG
This is a non-coding RNA of Trachymyrmex cornetzi, 265 nucleotides long. NCBI's taxonomy places the organism in Eukaryota, Metazoa, Arthropoda, Insecta, Hymenoptera, Formicidae. The record is from Rfam.